AUGGGCACCGAUCUCUUUGGAAGCACAACUCAGUGGGGCGAAAUGAUCGAUGAGAUGUAUGAUCCUGAUAUACCAGGACCAUCACAUCAAGCACCUCAUAAUCAAGCAAGUCAGAACAGGCCAAAAACACCUCAGGAAAAUCAACAGAGGGGAGUGAGACAAGGGGCGAGGCAAAGGCGCAACCGUUUAUGUCAUACGGGGACCCGCUUAGGUUGA
Non-coding RNA from Vicia faba (fava bean), 216 nucleotides. The record is from the annotation of a GenBank genome assembly. NCBI's taxonomy places the organism in Eukaryota, Viridiplantae, Streptophyta, Magnoliopsida, Fabales, Fabaceae.